UCCUGCUUAACGCCGGCAGUCCCUUUAGAGUGCCCAGCUUUACCUGAUGGCAACUAAAGGCAAGGGUUGCGCUCGUUGCGGGACUUAACCCAACAUCUCACGACACGAGCUGACGACAGCCAUGCAGCACCUGAUCCACCGGUCCCCGAAGGGAAGAUCCUAUCUCUAGGACAGUCCGCCGUUGUCUAGCCCAGGUAAGGUUCUUCGCGUUGCGUCGAAUUGAACCACAUGCUCCGCCGCUUGUGCGGGCCCCCGUCAAUUCCUUUGAGUUUCACCCUUGCGAGCGUACUCCCCAGGUGGGUCACUUAAUGCGUUAGCGUCGAUACCGAAGGGGUCGAAUCCCCCGACAUCUAGUGACCAUCGUUUACGGUGCGGACUAC
This 380-nucleotide unclassified non-coding RNA is filed under the name uncultured bacterium. RNAcentral describes it as "contains 16S-23S intergenic spacer region". The record is from RNAcentral.